GAUGAACGCUAGCUACAGGCUUAACACAUGCAAGUCGAGGGGCAGCAUGAACUUAGCUUGCUAAGUUUGAUGGCGACCGGCGCACGGGUGAGUAACACGUAUCCAACCUGCCGAUGACUCGGGGAUAGCCUUUCGAAAGAAAGAUUAAUACCCGAUGGCAUAGUUCUUCCGCAUGGUAGAACUAUUAAAGAAUUUCGGUCAUCGAUGGGGAUGCGUUCCAUUAGGUUGUUGGCGGGGUAACGGCCCACCAAGCCUUCGAUGGAUAGGGGUUCUGAGAGGAAGGUCCCCCCACAUUGGAACUGAGACACGGUCCAAACUCCUACGGGAGGCAGCAGUGAGGAAUAUUGGUCAAUGGACGAGAGUCUGAACCAGCCAAGUAGCGUGAAGGAUGACUGCCCUAUGGUUGUAAACUUCUUUAUACGGAAUAAGUGAGGCACGUGUGCUUUUGUAUGUACCGUAUGAAUAAGGAUCGGCUAACUCCGUG
Molecule: ribosomal RNA, 484 nt
Filed under: uncultured bacterium
Lineage: Bacteria
Description: bacterial SSU rRNA
Rfam family: Bacterial small subunit ribosomal RNA
Source: RNAcentral